CGUAGGUGGCAAGCGUUGUCCGGAAUUAUUGGGCGUAAAGCGCGCGCAGGCGGUCCUUUAAGUCUGAUGUGAAAGCCCACGGCUCAACCGUGGAGGGUCAUUGGAAACUGGGGACUUGAGUACAGAAGAGGAAAGCGGAAUUCCACGUGUAGCGGUGAAAUGCGUAGAGAUGUGGAGGAACACCAGUGGCGAAGGCGGCUUUCUGGUCUGUAACUGACGCUGAGGCGCGAAAGCGUGGGAGCAAACAGGAUU
This 252-nucleotide ribosomal RNA is filed under the name uncultured bacterium. RNAcentral describes it as "partial 16S ribosomal RNA". It matches the Rfam family "Bacterial small subunit ribosomal RNA", at positions 526 to 779 of the family's 1533-position model. The record is from RNAcentral.